AAGGUUCAAGGGAUAUGGUUAUGACUGUAGAGCGAGCUUCCUCUAAGCAAAAGUCUUCUUUCAAGAAAAAAGAAGAAGCCUGCAAGAAGCAAAAGAAUGAGAUCAAGCCCAAGAAACAGGCUCCAAAGAAGGCUGAUGAUAAGAAAAAAUAUUUUCAUGGCAAUGUCGAAGGCCAUUGGAGAAGGAACUAUCUGACCUACCU
This 202-nucleotide long non-coding RNA is filed under the name Elaeis guineensis (African oil palm). RNAcentral describes it as "long non-coding RNA (EGUI_LNC040026)". Lineage: Eukaryota; Viridiplantae; Streptophyta; Magnoliopsida; Arecales; Arecaceae. The record is from RNAcentral.